RNAcentral lists this ribosomal RNA (489 nucleotides) under uncultured bacterium. RNAcentral's name for it is "bacterial SSU rRNA". It matches the Rfam family "Bacterial small subunit ribosomal RNA", at positions 28 to 507 of the family's 1533-position model. The record is from RNAcentral.
GAUGAACGCUAGCGGCAGGCUUAACACAUGCAAGUCGAGGGGCAGCAUGACGGAACCUUCGGGUUUGUUGAUGGCGACCGGCGCAAGGGUGCGUAACGCGUGAGCAACUUGCCCGUUUCAGGGGGAUAACCGGUGGAAACGCCGACUAAUACCCCAUGGCAUCAUAUUAAGGCAUCUUUAUAUGAUUAAAGAAUUUCGGAAACGGAUAGGCUCGCGUGACAUUAGCUAGAUGGCGGGGUAACGGCCCACCAUGGCGACGAUGUCUAGGGGUUCUGAGAGGAAGGUCCCCCACACUGGAACUGAGACACGGUCCAGACUCCUACGGGAGGCAGCAGUGAGGAAUAUUGGUCAAUGGCCGGGAGGCUGAACCAGCCAUGCCGCGUGAAGGUCACGGCCCUAUGGGUCUUAAACUUCUUUUGUAAGGGAGCAAUAAGGUUCACGUGUGGACUGAUGAGAGUACCUUACGAAUAAGCAUCGGCUAACUCCGUG